GGCUGGUCCAAAGGUAAUGAAUUAUCUCAAUUGACUGUUCAUAGUCCUUUACAGAUGGAACUCCUUAUUCUACUAUUUCUCCCUUUCUCACUACUGCACUUGUCUUCAA
Molecule: Y RNA, 109 nt
Filed under: Piliocolobus tephrosceles (Ugandan red Colobus)
Lineage: Eukaryota; Metazoa; Chordata; Mammalia; Primates; Cercopithecidae
Description: Y RNA (ENSPTEG00000036752.1)
Rfam family: Y RNA
About the family: Y RNAs are components of the Ro ribonucleoprotein particle (Ro RNP), in association with Ro60 and La proteins.
Source: RNAcentral